UACGAAGGGGGCUAGCGUUGUUCGGAUUUACUGGGCGUAAAGCGCACGUAGGCGGAUUGGUCAGUUAGAGGUGAAAUCCCGGAGCUCAACUCCGGAACUGCCUUUAAUACUGCCAGUCUAGAGUCCGGAAGAGGUAAGUGGAACUCCUAGUGUAGAGGUGGAAUUCGUAGAUAUUAGGAAGAACACCAGUGGCGAAGGCGGCUUACUGGUCCGGUAUUGACGCUGAUGGACGAAAGCGUGGGUAGCGAACAGG
RNAcentral lists this ribosomal RNA (253 nucleotides) under uncultured bacterium. Its description in RNAcentral is "partial 16S ribosomal RNA". It matches the Rfam family "Bacterial small subunit ribosomal RNA", at positions 524 to 776 of the family's 1533-position model. The record is from RNAcentral.